Molecule: ribosomal RNA, 465 nt
Filed under: uncultured bacterium
Lineage: Bacteria
Description: partial 16S ribosomal RNA
Rfam family: Bacterial small subunit ribosomal RNA
Source: RNAcentral
GAUGAACGCUGGCGGCGUGCUUAACACAUGCAAGUCGAACGGAAAGGCCCCUUUGGGGGUACUCGAGUGGCGAACGGGUGAGUAACACGUGAGUAACCUGCCCUUGACUUCGGGAUAACUUCAGGAAACUGGGGCUAAUACCGGAUAGGAAUCCUUGCUGCAUGGUGGGGGUUGGAAAGCUUCGGCGGUUUUGGAUGGACUCGCGGCUUAUCAGCUUGUUGGUGGGGUAGUGGCUUACCAAGGCUUUGACGGGUAGCCGGCCUGAGAGGGCGACCGGCCACAUUGGGACUGAGAUACGGCCCAGACUCCUACGGGAGGCAGCAGUGGGGAAUAUUGCACAAUGGGCGGAAGCCUGAUGCAGCAACGCCGCGUGCGGGAUGACGGCCUUCGGGUUGUAAACCGCUUUCAGCAGGGGCGAAGCUUGUGGUGACGGUACCUGCAGAAGAAGCACCGGCUAACUACGUG